RNAcentral lists this non-coding RNA (710 nucleotides) under Perkinsus marinus ATCC 50983. Its description in RNAcentral is "Eukaryotic small subunit ribosomal RNA". It matches the Rfam family "Eukaryotic small subunit ribosomal RNA", at positions 217 to 917 of the family's 1831-position model. The record is from Rfam by way of RNAcentral. Lineage: Eukaryota; Perkinsozoa; Perkinsida; Perkinsidae.
CAGAACCAACCUAGGCUCCGCCUAGUCCUUGUUGGUGAUUCAUAAUAACCCGGCGAAUCGCACGGCUUGUCCGGCGAUGGACCAUUCAAGUUUCUGAUCUAUCAGCUAUGGACGGUAGGGUAUUGGCCUACCGUGGCGUUGACGGGUAACGGGGAAUUAGGGUUCGAUUCCGGAGAGGGAGCCUGAGAAACGGCUACCACAUCUAAGGAAGGCAGCAGGCGCGCAAAUUACCCAAUCCUGAUACAGGGAGGUAGUGACAAGAAAUAACAAUACAGGGCAAUUCUGUCUUGUAAUUGGAAUGAGUAGAUUUUAAAUCUCUUUACGAGUAUCAAUUGGAGGGCAAGUCUGGUGCCAGCAGCCGCGGUAAUUCCAGCUCCAAUAGCGUAUAUUAAAGUUGUUGCGGUUAAAAAGCUCGUAGUUGGAUUUCUGCCUUGGGCGACCGAUCCACCUUUCCUACGGGAUUGGUCGGUAUCAGGUUUGACCUUGGCUUUUUCUUGGGAUUCGUGCUCACGUACUUAACUGUGCGUUGACCGUGUUCCAAGACUUUUACUUUGAGGAAAUUAGAGUGUUUCAAGCAGGCUUAUGCCAUGAAUACAUUAGCAUGGAAUAAUAGGAUAUGACUUCGGUCAUAUUUUGUUGGUUUCUAGGACUGAAGUAAUGAUUAAUAGGGACAGUCGGGGGCAUUCGUAUUUAACUGUCAGAGGUGAAAU